AACGAACGCUGGCGGCGUGCUUAACGCAUGCAAGUCGAACGCGAAAGGGACUUCGGUCCUGAGUAAAGUGGCGCACGGGUGAGUAACGCGUAGAUAACCUGUCUUCAUGUCUGGAAUAAUACGCCGAAAGGGGUACUAAUACCGGAUAUUCUUGCUUUUCAUAAGUUAUGCAAGCAAAGGCGGCCUCUGCAUAUGCUACUGCAUGAAGAGGGGUCUGCGUACCAUUAGCUAGUAGGUGGGGUAAUGGCCUACCUAGGCGACGAUGGUUAGCGGGUCUGAGAGGAUGAUCCGCCACACUGGCACUGGAACACGGGCCAGACUCCUACGGGAGGCAGCAGUGAGGAAUAUUGCGCAAUGGGGGAAACCCUGACGCAGCGACGCCGCGUGAGUGAGGAAAGGCCUUCGGGUCGUAAAGCUCUGUCAAGAGGAAAGAAGUGUACAAUGGCUAAUACCUGUUGUAUUUGACGGUACCUCUAAAGGAAGCACCGGCUAACUCCGUGCCAGCAGCUGC
RNAcentral lists this ribosomal RNA (511 nucleotides) under uncultured bacterium. RNAcentral describes it as "bacterial SSU rRNA". It matches the Rfam family "Bacterial small subunit ribosomal RNA", at positions 29 to 518 of the family's 1533-position model. The record is from RNAcentral.